Molecule: transfer RNA, 72 nt
Filed under: Ailuropoda melanoleuca (giant panda)
Lineage: Eukaryota; Metazoa; Chordata; Mammalia; Carnivora; Ursidae
Rfam family: tRNA
About the family: Transfer RNA (tRNA) molecules are approximately 80 nucleotides in length. Their secondary structure includes four short double-helical elements and three loops (D, anti-codon, and T loops). Further hydrogen bonds mediate the characteristic L-shaped molecular structure. tRNAs have two regions of fundamental functional importance: the anti-codon, which is responsible for specific mRNA codon recognition, and the 3' end, to which the tRNAs corresponding amino acid is attached (by aminoacyl-tRNA synthetases). tRNAs cope with the degeneracy of the genetic code in two manners: having more than one tRNA (with a specific anti-codon) for a particular amino acid; and 'wobble' base-pairing, i.e. permitting non-standard base-pairing at the 3rd anti-codon position.
Source: Rfam by way of RNAcentral
ACCUGGCUGGCUCAGUCAAUAGAGCAUGUGGCUCUUGAUCCAGGGUUGUGGGUUCAAGUCCCACAUUGGGUG